RNAcentral lists this long non-coding RNA (271 nucleotides) under Olea europaea subsp. europaea. The record is from RNAcentral. Lineage: Eukaryota; Viridiplantae; Streptophyta; Magnoliopsida; Lamiales; Oleaceae.
UGUUUGAUCUUGUGUUUUCUCUGAAAAUACUUUUAUCUUUUUUUGUAUUUUUCAGAGAAAAUUGUAGAGAAACUCUUGUGUGAGUUUGCUCUGUUGGAAGAUUGUGUUGCAUUCGUGGUUUAAGAACUUUGUAUUCUGUAACUUGAUUUUUGCGUAUUUUGGUCGUAUAGUGAAUUCGAGCUUAAUCCUUUACGGAUGUUCAACGGGGGACUAAGCAUUAGAAGCGGUCGUUGAACCUUUGAACCUUUGGCCGAAAAAUCUCUUGUGUUCC